This 497-nucleotide ribosomal RNA is filed under the name uncultured bacterium. Its description in RNAcentral is "partial 16S ribosomal RNA". It matches the Rfam family "Bacterial small subunit ribosomal RNA", at positions 28 to 507 of the family's 1533-position model. The record is from RNAcentral.
GAUGAACGCUGGCGGCGUGCCUAAUACAUGCAAGUCGAGCGAACAGACGAUGAGCUUGCUCCUCUGACGUUAGCGGCGGACGGGUGAGUAACACGUGGAUAACCUACCUAUAAGACUGGGAUAACUUCGGGAAACCGGAGCUAAUACCGGAUAAUAUAUUGAACCGCAUGGUUCAAUAGUUAAACACGGUUUUGCUGUCACUUAUAGAUGGAUCCGCGCCGGAUUAGCUAGUUGGUAAGGUAACGGCUUACCAAGGCAACGAUGCGUAGCCGACCUGAGAGGGUGAUCGGCCACACUGGAACUGAGACACGGUCCAGACUCCUACGGGAGGCAGCAGUGGGGAAUCUUCCGCAAUGGGCGAAAGCCUGACGGAGCAACGCCGUGUGAGUGAUGAAGGUCUUCGGAUCGUAAAACUCUGUUAUUAGGGAAGAACAAAUGUGUAAGUAACUAUGCACGUCUUGACGGUACCUAAUCAGAAAGCCACGGCUAACUACGUG